AAUAACUCUUAAAAUUCAGCUAUAAAUCUCACAUGGAUGAUCUGAUCUGGGAAGACCCCACGUGCCUCAGAGCAACUAAGGCCACGUGCCACCACAGUUGAACACGUGCUCUACAGCCUGGGAACCGCGACUACUGAGCCCAUGUGCCAAGCUGCUGCAACCCGUGUGCCCCAGAGCCUGUGCUCCUCGACGAGACAAGCUGUUGCAGUUAGAAGCCCGCCCACUGCGACUAGAGAGUAGCCGCCACGCUCUGUAGCGAGAGAAAAGCCCUCGCAGCAAUGAAGACCCAGCACAGCAAAAAAAAAUAAAUAAACAAAUAAAAGGAGAGACAGAACUAUCGUGGCCUCAUGAGGAAAGAAGUGGUCUUAAAAUACAAUUCCUCAAAAGAAGUAGCCCAGGUAAGAAAGAAGCGGGCUUAACAGCCCCAGAAGAAGGGCCCUGAGUACUAAAUAAGGAAACUCUUCAACUUCAAGAUCUGGAAUCUGUCAAUGAGAUUUCAUGAGAGGCAGUCGGACUCGGACACCCACCGCUUCCUGUUUGAGUAUAUCUCUGUUUCACCACUUCUCUGUCCAAAGUGACAUUGUCUGAGGACCAGCUGAUAAAUGUGAGCUCUUUGAGUUAGGUGCUACCUCUAGGUUUUGUAUCCCUGGGGAGAGGGGUUGCCCAAUGGGUUGAAGAGAGAAGAGCUCAGCAGGUGACCAGGGCUGGUGAUCAGUUCCUUCAGGGGUUCAUCACUGUUCCUGAGCAGAGGAUCUAAGGCUCACUGAUCCAGUCCUUUAACACGUACACAGGGGCUAUGCUAGAUCCCAAGUCUUUCUUUUUACAUUUGUGAAAUUUGAAAGAUACCAUGUGUUCCUUACAAUCCAGGAGUAAAUUUAGGAGCCCUUUAUAGAGAAUAAAGUAUGUCACAGAUUCAAAGUAUUUUAAUAAUUAGCAAGGCUUUGAAAAUACAUAAAAAGGCUGCAUUACAACAUCACCAACUACACUGUGCUGCACAAAUCAACAAAUAUUGCUGGACCAAUGCAUUCAUGUAAUGCAGUAAUCUUCCCUCUCAAAUCUAUCCAUCACACUGUCAUUGGUAUAAUCCCCUUUUGAAUGCAAUAAGCUGUAAUAAAUUGCAUUUUGCCCAUUUGGGGCAGUUCUAACAAUAACAAAAAUGCCCCUAAUCCUUAAUGAGAACCUACUUUGUACCUGGCACAGGGCUGGUUGGGUUGGCUGAAAACACGGCGAUGCCUCUUGGAAUAAUCUCAACCAAAUUACUUAACCUCUGAGACCUUCAGUUUUCUUUUCUGCAAAACGGAUAGCAAUCAUAGCUACAGGUGUGCUAGAUGCAGUUGUGCAAAUUGUAGAGUGAACAAAGGUACCAAAUCUAGGGGAACACCAUACACAUCACUAGUGUGAGAGACCGGUGUGCUUACUGCCCACAGUUCCCAGCAGAUUCUAAUAGGGUUUUUCAUUCUAACAAAAAUAGUGUAUUAGGACAGUUUUCCAACAGAUGGAAGUAAAAUGUCUUGAAGAAAAGGAGGCUUUUAUUGCUUUAUACAUAGGCAAAGAGCAACCUCAUGUGCCUAACUCUUAGGUUCAUUAUGUGGUUUUAUUGAAUAGAUGUGUAGAAAGCACAUAGAACCCAUAAGAACAGUUCAUAAAUGGUAGCAAUUCUAGUUUUUCUGCAUUUUCUGACUUAUCCCCUUUAUCCUCUUUGUCCUAUCAAACCUUAAAAGGAAACUAUUUUUAAUCCUUGUUUUACAAAUAAAAUGAGAAUUGGAGAGAUUAAAUAAUAUGUUAAAUUUCAAUUAGGUGGUGAGUGACUGAGUUUAGGAUCCUAAUUGAAGCUUGCCUGAGCUCUUAACCACUCUGCUUAAUUGCUCAGUCAUGUCUGCCUCUUUGCAACCCCAUGAACUGUAGCCCGCCAGGCUCCUCUAUCAUCGGGAUUCUCCAGGCUAGAAUACUCGAGUCGGCUGCCAUGCCCUUCUCCAGGGGAUCUUCCCAACCCAGAGACUGAACCUAGGUCUCCCACAUUGCAGGCGGAUUCUUUACUGUCUGUGCCACCAGGAGAGCCCUGUUAACCCCUGCCUUGUGCUAUUCUAUGCGUGUCAGGGAAAAUCCUGCCCCUGCCAUCUGCCUGAGUUAUGACCACUCCCAUGGCGUCCUCAUCCUGAAAUAUCAUGGGAAAGACAGGGCAGCCAAGUCCAUUCUUUAUUGCUCCCCAGAGUUUCAGUAUCACUUGUAUUCCCUCCAUAGUAUCAUAGCCUCCAAGGGUUCUUCUCUGCGUAGAUAGGUUAAGACAGUUUUCUGGAGCCUGCUCCUGGCUUACCUUUCCCCCACAAUCCCCCUGAAUCCUACUUGACCUUCUAAGGGCAGGAGUUGGAAAGGGGGCUGGGAGGACUGGAAAUGGAUUGCAAGCCUUCUUUAAAUUCUGGCCCUUCAUACUACCUUGUUAAGUGAGAAGGACGAGCACAGAGAGAGGAGACUCCUAGGAUAACCUCUCUGAGUAGAAGGAAACAAUUGUCUCAGUCUGAUUUCUGCUUUGAACCCUUACUCCUUACAGUGAGUCUCUGCUCAAUCCCAUUUUCUUUCUCCUCAUUCCCACUAUUACACUUCAUUGCAUCCUUGACAUUCAUUUCUUCUUUGACUCCCAGCAAAAUGCUUCUGUGCUUGAGGAAGAAUCAAGGUAGGGAAAGUAAUGAGAUCCUUGGGUUUCUCUAGAAGUCAGGAGGGUAUGGCAGCUAAUGCUGGUAUUGGAAGCCAGGUCCAUGGGUCAUGCAGAUGAAUGUAGUGCAAACAUAUGCACAUAAGUACUUGGACUGGCACAGGGCAAUGGACAAAGUAGUGGAGAGAUGUUUUGAAACUUUCUUUAAUUUUUUA
This is a long non-coding RNA of Bubalus bubalis (water buffalo), 2865 nucleotides long. RefSeq lists it as uncharacterized. The transcript has 3 exons. NCBI's taxonomy places the organism in Eukaryota, Metazoa, Chordata, Mammalia, Artiodactyla, Bovidae. The record is from RefSeq and is a predicted model, not a curated record.